Molecule: ribosomal RNA, 813 nt
Filed under: Cellulomonas sp. RODXS5
Lineage: Bacteria; Bacillati; Actinomycetota; Actinomycetes; Micrococcales; Cellulomonadaceae
Description: bacterial SSU rRNA
Rfam family: Bacterial small subunit ribosomal RNA
Source: RNAcentral
CUGCAGUCGACGGUGACGACGGGGCUUGCUCUGUCUGAUCAGUGGCGAACGGGUGAGUAACACGUGAGUAACCUGCCCCCGACUCUGGAAUAACCGUGGGAAACGACGGCUAAUACCGGAUAUGAGACGCACGGGCAUCUGUGUGUCUGGAAAGAUUUAUCGGUCAGGGAUGGACUCGCGGCCUAUCAGCUUGUUGGUGGGGUAAUGGCCCACCAAGGCGACGACGGGUAGCCGGCCUGAGAGGGCGACCGGCCACACUGGGACUGAGAUACGGCCCAGACUCCUACGGGAGGCAGCAGUGGGGAAUAUUGCACAAUGGGCGCAAGCCUGAUGCAGCGACGCCGCGUGAGGGAUGAAGGCCUUCGGGUUGUAAACCUCUUUCAGCAGGGAAGAAGCGAAAGUGACGGUACCUGCAGAAGAAGCGCCGGCUAACUACGUGCCAGCAGCCGCGGUAAUACGUAGGGCGCAAGCGUUGUCCGGAAUUAUUGGGCGUAAAGAGCUCGUAGGCGGUUUGUCGCGUCUGCUGUGAAAACCUGAGGCUCAACCUCGGGCUUGCAGUGGGUACGGGCAGACUAGAGUGCGGUAGGGGUGACUGGAAUUCCUGGUGUAGCGGUGGAAUGCGCAGAUAUCAGGAGGAACACCGAUGGCGAAGGCAGGUCACUGGGCCGCAACUGACGCUGAGGAGCGAAAGCAUGGGGAGCGAACAGGAUUAGAUACCCUGGUAGUCCAUGCCGUANACGUUGGGCACUAGGUGUGGGGCUCAUUCCACGAGUUCCGUGCCGCAGCAAACGCAUUAAGUGCCCCGCCUGGGGA